UGGGAAAUAACCACAAUGGGCAAAGCUC
This 28-nucleotide non-coding RNA is filed under the name Homo sapiens (human). The record is from RNAcentral. Lineage: Eukaryota; Metazoa; Chordata; Mammalia; Primates; Hominidae.